RNAcentral lists this ribosomal RNA (335 nucleotides) under uncultured Pseudomonadota bacterium. RNAcentral describes it as "bacterial SSU rRNA". It matches the Rfam family "Bacterial small subunit ribosomal RNA", at positions 29 to 351 of the family's 1533-position model. The record is from RNAcentral. Lineage: Bacteria; Pseudomonadati; Pseudomonadota.
AACGAACGCUGGCGGCGUGCCUAACACAUGCAAGUCGAGCGCGAAAGGAGCAAUCCGAGUAGAGCGGCGCACGGGUGCGUAACACGUGGGUAAUCUGCCUCAGGGUCAGGGAUAACUUUCCGAAAGGUUAGCUAAUACCUGGUAAGCCUACGACCUCCUCGGAGGUUGUGGGAAAAGUAGACCUCUAUUUAUAAGUUUACGCCCAGAGAUGAGCCCGCGGCCCAUCAGCUAGUUGGCGGGGUAACGGCCCACCAAGGCUACGACGGGUAGCUGGUCUGAGAGGACGAUCAGCCACACUGGAACUGAGACACGGUCCAGACUCCUACGGGAGGCAG